UACGGAGGAUGCAAGCGUUAUCCGGAUUCAUUGGGUUUAAAGGGUGCGUAGGCGGAGCAAUAAGUCAGUGGUGAAAUCCUACAGCUUAACUGUAGAACUGCCAUUGAUACUGUCGUUCUUGAAUGCAGUUGAGGUUAGCGGAAUGUGUAAUGUAGCGGUGAAAUGCGUAGAUAUUACACAGAACACCUAUUGCGUAGGCAGCUGACUAAACUGUGAUUGACGCUGAGGCACGAAAGCGUGGGGAUCAAACAGG
This 253-nucleotide ribosomal RNA is filed under the name uncultured bacterium. Its description in RNAcentral is "partial 16S ribosomal RNA". It matches the Rfam family "Bacterial small subunit ribosomal RNA", at positions 524 to 776 of the family's 1533-position model. The record is from RNAcentral.